Molecule: ribosomal RNA, 484 nt
Filed under: uncultured bacterium
Lineage: Bacteria
Description: partial 16S ribosomal RNA
Rfam family: Bacterial small subunit ribosomal RNA
Source: RNAcentral
AUUGAACGCUGGCGGAAUGCUUUACACAUGCAAGUCGAGCGGCAGCACGGGGGCAACCCUGGUGGCGAGCGGCGAACGGGUGAGUAAUACAUCGGAACAUGCCCAGUCGUGGGGGAUAACACUUCGAAAGAAGUGCUAAUACCGCAUACGUCCUGAGGGAGAAAGCGGGGGAUCGCAAGACCUCGCGCGAUUGGAGUGGCCGAUGUCAGAUUAGCUAGUUGGUGGGGUAAAGGCCUACCAAGGCAACGAUCUGUAGCUGGUCUGAGAGGAUGAUCAGCCACACUGGGACUGAGACACGGCCCAGACUCCUACGGGAGGCAGCAGUGGGGAAUUUUGGACAAUGGGGGCAACCCUGAUCCAGCCAUUCCGCGUGAGUGAAGAAGGCCUUCGGGUUGUAAAGCUCUUUCGGCAGGAACGAAACGGCGAGCUCUAACAUAGCCUGCUAAUGACGGUACCUGAAGAAGAAGCACCGGCUAACUACGUG